GGGUUGUGAGGUUAAGCGACUAAGCGUACACGGUGGAUGCCCUGGCAGUCAGAGGCGAUGAAGGACGUGCUAAUCUGCGAAAAGCGUCGGUAAGGUGAUAUGAACCGUUAUAACCGGCGAUGUCCGAAUGGGGAAACCCAGUGCAAUUCGUUGCACUAUCGUUAACUGAAUACAUAGGUUAACGAGGCGAACCGGGGGAACUGAAACAUCUAAGUACCCCGAGGAAAAGAAAUCAACCGAGAUUCCCCCAGUAGCGGCGAGCGAACGGGGAGCAGCCCAGAGUCUGAAUCAGCUUGUGUGUUAG
This 304-nucleotide ribosomal RNA is filed under the name Klebsiella pneumoniae. RNAcentral's name for it is "partial 23S ribosomal RNA". It matches the Rfam family "Bacterial large subunit ribosomal RNA", at positions 1 to 293 of the family's 2925-position model. The record is from RNAcentral. Lineage: Bacteria; Pseudomonadati; Pseudomonadota; Gammaproteobacteria; Enterobacterales; Enterobacteriaceae.